UUUAUGGAGAGUUUGAUCCUGGCUCAGAGUGAACGCUGGCGGCGUGCCUAAUACAUGCAAGUCGAACGAUGAAGCUUCUAGCUUGCUAGAAGUGGAUUAGUGGCGCACGGGUGAGUAACGCAUAGGUCAUGUGCCUCUUAGUUUGGGAUAGCCAUUGGAAACGAUGAUUAAUACCAGAUACUCCCUACGGGGGAAAGAUUUAUCGCUAAGAGAUCAGCCUAUGUCCUAUCAGCUUGUUGGUAAGGUAAUGGCUUACCAAGGCUAUGACGGGUAUCCGGCCUGAGAGGGUGAACGGACACACUGGAACUGAGACACGGUCCAGACUCCUACGGGAGGCAGCAGUAGGGAAUAUUGCUCAAUGGGGGAAACCCUGAAGCAGCAACGCCGCGUGGAGGAUGAAGGUUUUAGGAUUGUAAACUCCUUUUGUUAGAGAAGAUAAUGACGGUAUCUAACGAAUAAGCACCGGCUAACUCCGUGCCAGCAGCCGCGGUAAUACGGAGGGUGCAAGCGUUACUCGGAAUCACUGGGCGUAAAGAGCGCGUAGGCGGGAUAGUCAGUCAGGUGUGAAAUCCUAUGGCUUAACCAUAGAACUGCAUUUGAAACUACUAUUCUAGAGUGUGGGAGAGGUAGGUGGAAUUCUUGGUGUAGGGGUAAAAUCCGUAGAGAUCAAGAGGAAUACUCAUUGCGAAGGCGACCUGCUGGAACAUUACUGACGCUGAUUGCGCGAAAGCGUGGGGAGCAAACAGGAUUAGAUACCCUGGUAGUCCACGCCCUAAACGAUGGAUGCUAGUUGUUGGAGGGCUUAGUCUCUCCAGUAAUGCAGCUAACGCAUUAAGCAUCCCGCCUGGGGAGUACGGUCGCAAGAUUAAAACUCAAAGGAAUAGACGGGGACCCGCACAAGCGGUGGAGCAUGUGGUUUAAUUCGAAGAUACACGAAGAACCUUACCUAGGCUUGACAUUGAGAGAAUCCGCUAGAAAUAGUGGAGUGUCUGGCUUGCUAGACCUUGAAAACAGGUGCUGCACGGCUGUCGUCAGCUCGUGUCGUGAGAUGUUGGGUUAAGUCCCGCAACGAGCGCAACCCCCUUUCUUAGUUGCUAACAGGUCAUGCUGAGAACUCUAAGGAUACUGCCUCCGUAAGGAGGAGGAAGGUGGGGACGACGUCAAGUCAUCAUGGCCCUUACGCCUAGGGCUACACACGUGCUACAAUGGGGUGCACAAAGAGAAGCAAUACUGCGAAGUGGAGCCAAUCUUCAAAACGCCUCUCAGUUCGGAUUGUAGGCUGCAACUCGCCUGCAUGAAGCUGGAAUCGCUAGUAAUCGCAAAUCAGCCAUGUUGCGGUGAAUACGUUCCCGGGUCUUGUACUCACCGCCCGUCACACCAUGGGAGUUGUGUUUGCCUUAAGUCAGGAUGCUAAAUUGGCUACUGCCCACGGCACACACAGCGACUGGGGUGAAGUCGUAACAAGGUAACCGUAGGUGAACCUGCGGUUGGAUCACCUCCUUU
Molecule: ribosomal RNA, 1503 nt
Filed under: Helicobacter pylori
Lineage: Bacteria; Pseudomonadati; Campylobacterota; Epsilonproteobacteria; Campylobacterales; Helicobacteraceae
Also listed under: 1 other name
Description: bacterial SSU rRNA
Rfam family: Bacterial small subunit ribosomal RNA
Source: RNAcentral